RNAcentral lists this long non-coding RNA (1527 nucleotides) under Ornithorhynchus anatinus (platypus). RNAcentral's name for it is "lncRNA (ENSOANG00000038503.1)". Lineage: Eukaryota; Metazoa; Chordata; Mammalia; Monotremata; Ornithorhynchidae. The record is from RNAcentral.
GGAGAGAGCAAGGACGAGCACUCCAAAGCGAAGCUUCCCCUCGUUUCACGGGCCGGAGCUUUUCCCUUCCGGCUGUUCCGGGGGCCCGGGCCCCCCGGACGUCUCCACGGGCCCGGCCCUCGGCCGGCGGGCCGCCGGGCGGCGGUUGGGUGGCGGCGGCCGGCCGCUGACGGCUCAGGCGGGUCGGUGAACGCGUGGGCGGGCCGCCGACCCUCCUGUACUUACCUGCGAGGCUCCCCUAAUUCACGCGCGAGCCGGGAGGCGGGCAGCGGGGGGUGGGAGAAGUGCAGAUUCCUCUUUCCUCCCCCAAAUAACCGUGCUAGCACAGAAGAGGGGCGGGCGCGAGGGAGAGGCUGCCCGGGCUCCCCGCAGACCGGAGGAUCCCGGGGAGCCUGCGGGGGCCGGGGAGGCUUUUGGUUUCGGGGCUCGCCGGGCGUGUCCGGAACCGCCCCACCUUCUGGCGGGGCCCGUCCCCGCCGGCCGUCCCCCCGGGGUCAGACACGAACGGUCAGGAGGAUUUCCCGGCCGGCCGGAGCCCUCCAGAAACCCCCCCCGCCCCGGCCUCACCGGCCCGACCCGGGGUUCGGCCGCCCAAGGCGGGCCCGCCCGGGCUUAAGCACUGAUGGACUGAGGCACGGGUUGAACACGCUCACACCCACACGCACACAGUUGCAUAGAGACUCCCGCGGUAACACACCCAACGCACACGUGCGCGGACGCACGACGUCACGCCUGGGCCUACACCGCAUACACUCACAGGCACACACAGGGUCAUGGAGAUACACUCACACACGCCCAGAGACCCACGCGUACCAGAAAUCCACACAUCAACGCGCACGGUCCCACACGGACGCACCGAGGUGGACGCAGAGCCCCGUACGGGCACAGCCACCCCCCCGGGCGGUCAGUAGCCGGUGGCGGAGCCCCACCGUCGGACGUGGCCCGGUCCCGGGGGCGACCUCCGCCCCGUGGCGGAGAGCUCCGGCCCCCGGCCGCCCCCUCCCCCGUCGGCGCCGGGCGGGCUUCGACUUCCGGCAGCCGACGGGCUUCGGUUCUCGGCGGCGGGCGGAGGCGGGCGGGCCUCUGCGGGCGAGGGUCACGCAACCAUCGACGACAGCGGCGGCGGAGCGCGGGGGGCCGGGGAGGGUGCGGGCGUCACCGCGGGGCGUGCGGGGACGGCUCAGGACACGGUUUCGUCUUCGUGCACGUCGGGCAGCUCGGAGUCCCGGCCCUCCUCCGUGCCGGCUUCCUUCCUGCCGGGGAGAGGAGAGGUGUUAUCGUCGGUGGGAUUUAUCGAGCGCUCGUUGUGUGCAGAGGACUGGAUUCGGUGUAACGAUAAACGAGACACAUUCCCUGCCCACAGGGAGCAAAGAGGACGACGCUCUCACAGCCCUCAGGUUUAAGCUCCUUGAGCGCAGGGGGGUUGAUUUUAAUAACGUUUCUGAGCAUUUCAUACAGUCCUCCGCGCUCGGUAGGCAGCCAGUACAGUGCUCUACACACUGUUCAUGCGCAGUACAGUGCUCUGCA